Molecule: microRNA, 21 nt
Filed under: Mus musculus (house mouse)
Lineage: Eukaryota; Metazoa; Chordata; Mammalia; Rodentia; Muridae
Description: mmu-miR-292b-3p
Gene: mmu-miR-292b-3p
Source: miRBase by way of RNAcentral
AAGAGCCCCCAGUUUGAGUAU